ACGUAGGGGGCGAGCGUUGUCCGGAUUUAUUGGGCGUAAAGAGCUCGUAGGCGGCUUGGCAAGUCGGGUGUGUAACCUCCAGGCUCAACCUGGAGACGCCACUCGAUACUGCCAUGGCUAGAGUCCGGUAGGGGACCACGGAAUUCCUGGUGUAGCGGUGAAAUGCGCAGAUAUCAGGAGGAACACCGGUGGCGAAGGCGGGUCUCUGGGCCUUACCUGACGCUGAGGAGCGAAAGCAUGGGUAGCCAACAGGA
Molecule: ribosomal RNA, 254 nt
Filed under: uncultured prokaryote
Description: partial 16S ribosomal RNA
Rfam family: Bacterial small subunit ribosomal RNA
Source: RNAcentral